RNAcentral lists this transfer RNA (73 nucleotides) under Dicrossus filamentosus (checkerboard dwarf cichlid). RNAcentral's name for it is "tRNA-Asn". It matches the Rfam family "tRNA". Rfam says of the family: Transfer RNA (tRNA) molecules are approximately 80 nucleotides in length. Their secondary structure includes four short double-helical elements and three loops (D, anti-codon, and T loops). Lineage: Eukaryota; Metazoa; Chordata; Actinopteri; Cichliformes; Cichlidae. The record is from RNAcentral.
UGGAUAGAGGCCCGCUGGUUAGGGCGCUUAGCUGUUGACUAAGAGCUUGUGGGAUCGAGGCCCUCUUAUCUAG